RNAcentral lists this ribosomal RNA (100 nucleotides) under uncultured bacterium. Its description in RNAcentral is "partial 16S ribosomal RNA". The record is from RNAcentral.
CACUCACCGCCCGUCACAUCACCUGAAUCAGUUGCUCCCGAAGUCGCUGGCUGAACCCGUAAGGGACGGAGGCGCCGAAGGAGUGGCCGGUGAGGGGGUG